UGCAUAUCAAAUAAGCGGAGGAAUAGAAACUAACAAGGAGUCCCCUAGUAACGGCGAGUGAAGCGGGAAGAGCUCAAAUUUGAAAUCUGGUAGCCUUCGGUUGCCCGAGUUGUAAUCUAGAGAAGUGUUUUCCGUGCCGGCCCAUGUACAAGUCCCUUGGAACAGGGCGUCAUAGAGGGUGAGAAUCCCGUCCUUGACAUGGACCCCCGGUGCUUUGUGAUACACUUUCAACGAGUCGAGUUGUUUGGGAAUGCAGCUCAAAAUGGGUGGUGAAUUCCAUCUAAAGCUAAAUAUUGGCGAGAGACCGAUAGCGAACAAGUACCGUGAGGGAAAGAUGAAAAGCACUUUGGAAAGAGAGUUAAACAGUACGUGAAAUUGUUGAAAGGGAAACGAUUGAAGUCAGUCAUGCUCUUAGGAUUCAGCCGUUCUGCGGUGUAUUUCCUUUGAGUGGGGUCAACAUCAGUUUUGAUCGAUGGAUAAAGGCACGAGGAAGGUAGCACUCUCGGGUGAACUUAUAGCCUCGCGUCAUAUACAUUGAUUGGGACUGAGGAACGCA
This 556-nucleotide ribosomal RNA is filed under the name Naganishia sp. RNAcentral's name for it is "partial large subunit ribosomal RNA". It matches the Rfam family "Eukaryotic large subunit ribosomal RNA", at positions 37 to 598 of the family's 3401-position model. Lineage: Eukaryota; Fungi; Basidiomycota; Tremellomycetes; Filobasidiales; Filobasidiaceae. The record is from RNAcentral.